RNAcentral lists this ribosomal RNA (1108 nucleotides) under Clostridioides difficile. RNAcentral's name for it is "partial 23S ribosomal RNA". It matches the Rfam family "Bacterial large subunit ribosomal RNA", at positions 315 to 1433 of the family's 2925-position model. Lineage: Bacteria; Bacillati; Bacillota; Clostridia; Peptostreptococcales; Peptostreptococcaceae. The record is from RNAcentral.
AACGAAGAGGUAUCGUAAUUGAAGAGGUUUGGAAAGACCCACCACAGAAGGUAAUAGUCCUGUAUGUUAAACGAGAAGACUUUAGAUAUGAUCCAGAGUACCACGGGACACGUGAAACCCUGUGGGAAGCAGGAGGGACCACCCUCCAAGGCUAAAUACUACCUAGUGACCGAUAGCGUAUAGUACCGUGAGGGAAAGGUGAAAAGAACCCCGGGAGGGGAGUGAAAUAGAACCUGAAACCCUGCACUUACAAGCUGUGGAAGCACAUUUCUUGUGUGACCGCGUACUUUUUGUAGAACGGGCCAACGAGUUACGUUAAGUAGCAAGGUUAAGCACUUAAGGUGCGGAGCCGUAGCGAAAGCGAGUUUUAACUGAGCGUUCAGUUACUUGACGUAGACCCGAAACCGGGCGACCUACCCAUGAGCAGGAUGAAGCGAAAGUAAAAUUUCGUGGAGGUCCGAACCCACGAGCGUUGAAAAGCUCGGGGAUGACUUGUGGGUAGCGGUGAAAUUCCAAUCGAGCCCGGAGAUAGCUGGUUCUCCCCGAAAUAGCUUUAGGGCUAGCCUCAAGGUGAGAGAUACGGAGGUAGAGCACUGAAUGUCCUAGGGGGUAUUGCACCUACCGAAGACUAUCAAACUCCGAAUGCCGUCAUCUUAUACUUGGGAGUCAGACUGUGGGUGAUAAGAUUCAUAGUCGAAAGGGCAACAGCCCAGAUCGUCAGCUAAGGUCCCUAAAUGUAAGUUAAGUGGUAAAGGAUGUGGGAUUGCACAGACAACCAGGAUGUUGGCUUAGAAGCAGCCACUCAUUCAAAGAGUGCGUAAUAGCUCACUGGUCGAGUGAUCCUGCGCCGAAGAUUUCCGGGGCUAAAACUUACUACCGAAGCUACGGCAUCAGUAAUGAUGGGUAGGGGAGCUUCCCAUACGGGUUGAAGCAUGACCGUAAGGACAUGUGGACAGUAUGGGAGUGAGAAUGUUGGCAUGAGUAGCGAGAUGUGGGUGAGAAUCCCACAGGCCGUAAACCCAAGGUUUCCAGGGGAAGGUUCGUCCGCCCUGGGUUAGUCGGGACCUAAGCUGAGGCCGAAAGGCGUAGGUGAUGGACAACAGGUUGA